CAAAUCGUAAAAAUGGUUGUGCUGUGUUGUUUUGAAUAUUCAUAUCACAGCCAUUUUGACGAGUUUGA
RNAcentral lists this microRNA precursor (68 nucleotides) under Anopheles culicifacies. RNAcentral's name for it is "mir-2 microRNA precursor". It matches the Rfam family "mir-2 microRNA precursor family". Rfam says of the family: The miRNAs are transcribed as ~70nt precursors (modelled here) and subsequently processed by the Dicer enzyme to give a ~22nt product. In this case the mature sequence comes from the 3' arm of the precursor. The extents of the hairpin precursors are not generally known and are estimated based on hairpin prediction. Lineage: Eukaryota; Metazoa; Arthropoda; Insecta; Diptera; Culicidae. The record is from RNAcentral.